Molecule: ribosomal RNA, 253 nt
Filed under: uncultured bacterium
Lineage: Bacteria
Description: partial 16S ribosomal RNA
Rfam family: Bacterial small subunit ribosomal RNA
Source: RNAcentral
UACGUAGGGUGCGAGCGUUGUCCGGAAUUAUUGGGCGUAAAGGGCUCGUAGGCGGUUUGUCGCGUCGGGAGUGAAAACCUUGGGCUUAACUCAGGGCUUGCUUUCGAUACGGGCAGACUAGAGGUAUGCAGGGGAGAACGGAAUUCCUGGUGUAGCGGUGAAAUGCGCAGAUAUCAGGAGGAACACCGGUGGCGAAGGCGGAUCUCUGGGCCAUUACUGACGCUGAGGAGCGAAAGCGUGGGGAGCGAACAGG